RNAcentral lists this ribosomal RNA (396 nucleotides) under uncultured bacterium. Its description in RNAcentral is "bacterial SSU rRNA". It matches the Rfam family "Bacterial small subunit ribosomal RNA", at positions 28 to 421 of the family's 1533-position model. The record is from RNAcentral.
GACGAACGUUGGCGGCGUGCUUAAUACAUGCAAGUCAACUGAAGCACCGGUAGCAAUACUGGUGUGGAGGUGGCGCACGGGUGAGUAACACGUAGGUAAUCUGCCUUCAGGUCUGACAUAACUCCGGGAAACCGAAGCUAAUAUCAGAUGAUGCAGCGGCUUGACAUCAAGACAGUUGUUAAAGCUUCGGCGCCUGAAGAUGAGCCUGCGCUGAUUAGCUAGUUGGCGGGGUAACGGCCCACCAAGGCAACGAUCAGUAGCUGGUCUGAGAGGAUGAUCAGCCACACUGGAACUGAGACACGGUCCAGACUCCUACGGGAGGCAGCAGUAAGGAAUAUUGCUCAAUGGGAGAAAUCCUGAAGCAGACAACGCCGCGUGAGGGAUGAAGGGCUUUUG